AGCGGCGUGGCUCAGUGGAAAGAGCCUGGGCUUGGGAGCCAGAGGUCAUGGGUUCGAAUCCCGGCUCGGCCA
RNAcentral lists this transfer RNA (72 nucleotides) under Ornithorhynchus anatinus (platypus). It matches the Rfam family "tRNA". From Rfam's summary of the family: Transfer RNA (tRNA) molecules are approximately 80 nucleotides in length. Their secondary structure includes four short double-helical elements and three loops (D, anti-codon, and T loops). Lineage: Eukaryota; Metazoa; Chordata; Mammalia; Monotremata; Ornithorhynchidae. The record is from Rfam by way of RNAcentral.